GAAAAAAGAAAGAAAAAGAAGAGACAUGCAGAUGCUUAUCCCUUCACUCUCUCCCCACCACUCCCCAUUCCAUGGUGGCCUCCGCCUGUUCUCCCCGCUGCCUGCUCUCCUCCGCAUGCCGCGCCGUCGCACGACGCCUCCUCCCUGUUGCCACGAUGUCGCCCAGCGCCUCCUCCUCCACCCCUCUGCCUCGCCCCGCCGCCUCCUCGCCGCACGACGGCCUCGCCUCGCCAGCAACCCCGCCGGUCUUACCUAGAUAAACUCUGCCGCUGCCAUCCCCAUGUCCCAGCGCAGAUCUAGACGGGAGCUAGAGGGGCAUGCUGGACACGAUGCGGGAGCGGGCAUAUCAUAGCGGACCGAGAUCCAGUGCGUCUACGUGCCCGCCGUCAUCGUUGCCCCCCGUGCUUGGCUCCCACACUCGCUCCAGGUAGGUGCUCGCAGCUCGCCUACUGCUCGGCUGCUCCAGGUACUUGACGGACUCAGGUAGUUGUAAUGGGAUGUCAGCUUCUUAAUCAGUACUCAUAGUUUUUGUGUACCUAUCAUUUGUCAAUUGAAGUGGAAAUGAAAUUCUAGUCUUAUUUUACUAAAUUGUGAGAUUCAGGAUCUGGUUGAUAUUUUGAGAGUUUUUACCAUUUAGGUUUUUGGUAACGCACAUCAGGAAUGCACACUUUAAUUUAUUUUAAGUGUGUACCUAUCAUUUGUUGUGUUUUAACAUAUCUUGCCACUACUCUGUAGUUAAAGCACAACGUGAGGCUGCAGCAGAAGCUUGAGGAAUGCAGGGGCUAAUAAUAGUACUCAUCAACCAAAAAUACCGGCGUCGUCAACCAUGCUUUGAACUUUUGGAGAUCAAGCUGUACGGUUGUACCAUGAAGAUUUUUGAUGCAGUUUAAGGAUUCAAGUGGCGAUUGCAACCCAAAACAUUGCAAAGAAUCUGCUACCAGAGGCUUCAUUAUGCACACCUUUUCUUUUUACAAAAUGGAGUCUGAUCUGCUGUCAUCACAUCACCAGGUAUGCCUACAGCACCAAUGUUUGUACAGUGACAUUUAUUCACACACAAAUGAAGAUAUUCUAAGGUUAGAACGAACAUCACCUUCAACACCUGGUGUGUAUCGUAGUUGGGUGACAGCAGAUUGCGCAGUGGGCCUCUCGGCGGUGUGAAAAUCCGGCAGAAGAAAUCACUUGAUCAUAUAUUUGAUUAUACUUCUGAUUGCUCAAUCAUAUAUAAAGAACAAAAUAUAAUGGACAAACCAGGUGAUAAUGAUAUUGCCGCGUGUGUCCUAGAUGGGGUGUGUUCUGCAUUAAGAAUAGUAGAUGUAGCUUUCUUAUGAGCCAUGUUUAGUGCAUACCUCUCCCUUUCCCUUUGUCUCUUCAACUCUUUAGGACCUGCCAUUUGGCCUGCGUGACAAAAUCUUUACAUAGGCUCGAGUUGGUGAUAUAUUUAAGUUACUUACCUGAGUUGGUGAUGUUGAAUAGGUCCUCAAAUUGGGUCCCUAAGUCGUCACGCUGAGUCGUAAUUAUUGAAAUUUUCCUUGUUACAAAAUGUCCGGUUUGAUUUGAAGGAAUUUGGAUCAUGAAAUGGAGCCUGAUCGGACAUCAUCACAUCAGCAUUUAUGCCUGUACCACCAAUGUCAGUACAGUAACAUUUUUUUACACACAAAUGGAGUUCCAAAUUUGUUAGGCUGAGAGGAUGCCAUAUGCAACUGUCUCAAUCAGGAUCUUAGUGUUCUCAAUCAUGGUUGUUGUACAUGAAAGAUUUACUUGAGCCAUAAACAGGAUGGUUGCAGGAGAAAAAUAAGUACAAUGAUUUGGUGUUUUCAAUGCUUUGAGCUGAAAAACAGUUCAGAUACCUGAAUUGCUGAUGGUCCUGAAGUCGUUACGCCGAGAGGAUGCCAUAUGCAACUGUCACAAUCAGGAUCUUAGUGUUCCCAAUCAUGGUUGUUGUGCUUGAAAGAUUUAGUCAUGAGCCAUAAAUAGGAUGGUUGUAGGAGAAAAAGAAGUACAAUGAUUUGGUGCUUUCAAUGUUUUGAGCUGAAAAACAGUUCAGAUUAUAUGCUUCCAGCCGUGAAACUGCUUAUCGCAUUAGUCUUUUUCAUUGUAUUUUAGCGCUUCCGGUGAUUCCUUCUCUGUCAUCAUUGUGCUUUUCAGGUUUGAUUCCUUUUGUGACACAUUAAGUGGCCUCACAGGUUGGUUGCACGUUUCCCUCUAUUAUGUAAGUAGUAACCCAUAGUGCCGCUUUUUUCCUUGGUGCUAAUAGAAACAAAUUCUCAAACAUAGUACACAAGAAAUAUUCGAUGGCAGGAACACCAGUACGAUAUUAUGCAUAUAUAAUCAUGAACAUACUACAAUAUUUGUUUCCUCAGGUUCUGUGCCCAGUUCAAUCACCGCUCCACACAGUAGGGUUAACCGAAGAUUCUCUUAGGUUCUGGGCCUCUGGACUGUACAAAAACACCAUGAGAAAACAAAACACCAUGAGAAAACUCUGUUAGAGCCAGCACACCUAUAGACUGUGAACCCAAGUAGCAGAACAUGACAAUUUUUUGUGAAAUCGGUCACUCCAUCUAACCACACUGAUUAAUGUGUUUAUCCAAGAAUAGUAUUCAGUAGAAUAGCAGACAAGAAUGGUAAAUCUCGACAGAUAGGAGAGAAAUUGUGCAGUAAGGCAGCAAAGCGAAGCUGGGACUGAACCUGGAGACCAUAUCGGAUGACGCCGAUCUGCUCAACACCCUUGAACGGCUCCGGGAGCAGCGGGAACAGGUUUCGCCCUCGUGCCACCAGGUUUUGCCGUCCUGUUGCUGGUUGGCGAGCCGAUACUUCCCGUCGGCCUUGUUGGUAUCGGAAACGCUGGAGAAGAGCUACGCCGCAGGCAUGAAGUCCUUCCCGGUGACCAGGUAUCCGUCGGGGACUCGAACGUCCACCAUACGACCGUGUCGUCAACGUGGAACAACACAAAGUUGUCGUCAUCUCGCAGGGCGCCCGCAACUCAGGCAGAUCUGAUUGGGCGACCAGGUGGGUUUCCAUUGGCCGUGGAAAUCAUACCUGGCCGAUCUGAUGGGGCUGUCUGCUGCUUCAAAACUCAGGCAAAUUGAUGCAUAAUAAUCUUGUUGUAGCCUGACAAAUAUGUGAAUAUCUGAUUGUAGGUGAAAGGAGGGGCGGCCACCCACUCGACGGUGCGGUGCAGGGUGGCAAGGGAGCCGGCAGGGAGGCGUCAACGCGGUGCAUGGCCGUGAGGGAACCGUCUAGGGAGGCGACGAUGCGAUGCAGGGAUCGAGGCCGCCGUGCAGGGAGGCGACGGGGCUGCUGAGCUUCGUCUGGGGCGGUGGCGAGGAAAGGCAGGGAGAGGGGCGAGGGAGACGAUUAGGUUUAGUUUCCUUUUAUUCAAAUUGAUUAGAUGGUUAGAUUAGCGUGAUUUGAGGGCCUGCGGAGGUGGGAUGGAGAGUUUCAUGUUUUCAUCUAGUGGAGUAUGGUCAGUCCAUGUAAACUGCUAAGCGCACACCAGAUCUCGAAUAAAUUAAUAAUGGCUGUUAGAUUGGGUCGUGUAGGCUU
Molecule: long non-coding RNA, 3543 nt
Organism: Triticum aestivum (bread wheat)
Lineage: Eukaryota; Viridiplantae; Streptophyta; Magnoliopsida; Poales; Poaceae
Exons: 2
Source: RefSeq, a predicted model, not a curated record